RNAcentral lists this ribosomal RNA (497 nucleotides) under uncultured bacterium. RNAcentral describes it as "partial 16S ribosomal RNA". It matches the Rfam family "Bacterial small subunit ribosomal RNA", at positions 28 to 507 of the family's 1533-position model. The record is from RNAcentral.
GACGAACGCUGGCGGCGUGCCUAAUACAUGCAAGUUGAGCGAUGAAGAUUGGUGCUUGCACCAAUUUGAAGAGCAGCGAACGGGUGAGUAACGCGUGGGGAAUCUGCCUUUGAGCGGGGGACAACAUUUGGAAACGAAUGCUAAUACCGCAUAACAACUUUAAACAUAAGUUUUAAGUUUGAAAGAUGCAAUUGCAUCACUCAAAGAUGAUCCCGCGUUGUAUUAGCUAGUUGGUGAGGUAAAGGCUCACCAAGGCGAUGAUACAUAGCCGACCUGAGAGGGUGAUCGGCCACAUUGGGACUGCGACACGGCCCAAACUCCUACGGGAGGCAGCAGUAGGGAAUCUUCGGCAAUGGACGAAAGUCUGACCGAGCAACGCCGCGUGAGUGAAGAAGGUUUUCGGAUCGUAAAACUCUGUUGGUAGAGAAGAACGUUGGUGAGAGUGGAAAGCUCAUCAAGUGACGGUAACUACCCAGAAAGGGACGGCUAACUACGUG